Molecule: non-coding RNA, 897 nt
Filed under: Providencia alcalifaciens
Lineage: Bacteria; Pseudomonadati; Pseudomonadota; Gammaproteobacteria; Enterobacterales; Morganellaceae
Source: RNAcentral
CCUGAGCCGCCAUUUCACGGUCAGUUAAGCCACCACAGAUUUGAAUAAUACGAUCUGACAACGUGGAUUUUCCGUGGUCGAUAUGUGCAAUGAUCGAAAAGUUUCUAAUGUUUUUGAUUUUCAAGGUAAUAUCUUCUUUUAAAUUGCCUUACAAAAUCAGUUUUGAGCAAAUUUUGCCACAAAACUAAAAUGCUAUGAUUAUCACAAGAUUGCUAAUUAGCAGCAUUUUACAUACAAGAACCCACUAACACAAAGAUUCAAUGUAAAACAACUGUAAACUAGCCAAAGUUGAAUGAGUUACUUAUUUCAUUUUUCUUCAUUUUUGAACGACCAAAAACAAAAUCGCCUGUAGUAAAAAGCUUAUGUCGUGAAAGCUUAGCUACAGGCGAUGAUGUGAGACAAUGGCAUUCAACCAUGUGUUUGAACGCUGAUUUCGCCGGGGGGCAGCCCUAUUUGUAAAACGAUAGGCUGAAAAUCGAUUUUAUUGCGCCAACGUGAAGCCAUUUCUCUCGCAGUGAAAAAGCCAGCAAACCCACCGAAAAUGCCUGCUAAUGCAACCCAUACCUGCUCAAAUUCAGCUAAUUGAGCCAAUGCGGCAAAUAUAAACAAUCCAACCAAUGGCGUUAAAUAGACUAACAUAGCAGAACGUAGCAAGCUUCCUUCAGGAAUACCUACUUCAAUUUUUUGUCCAACAACCAAAGGCUGUUCAACUUCAAUUUCCAAUUCAUGCUCUGUGUUAGGUCCUAUUUUGUUUAAAGCAUAUGAACCGCAAGCCGCACGAGCGCUGCAACUUCCACAUCCGGCUGAAGAGCCAUAACGCAAUAACGCUCGUCCUUUCUGCCACCUAACUACCGUUGCCCAUUCUUUUACCAUGAUUUACUCCCGAAACUGAAUGCU